AGCCCCGUUUUCUCGAGACUACAAGAUAGUUUUCUCAUGAUCUCGAAUAAAACAAGUCUUCGUGAAUGUGGUAUUUAAUUUUUUUUAACCCCCGUUUUCUUGAAAUCAUGAGAAAACUAUCUUGUGAUCUCGAGAAAACAAGGCU
RNAcentral lists this microRNA precursor (145 nucleotides) under Xyrichtys novacula (pearly razorfish). The record is from RNAcentral. Lineage: Eukaryota; Metazoa; Chordata; Actinopteri; Labriformes; Labridae.